Molecule: transfer RNA, 90 nt
Filed under: Planctomycetota bacterium
Lineage: Bacteria; Pseudomonadati; Planctomycetota
Also listed under: 1 other name
Description: Planctomycetes bacterium tRNA-Ser
Rfam family: tRNA
About the family: Transfer RNA (tRNA) molecules are approximately 80 nucleotides in length. Their secondary structure includes four short double-helical elements and three loops (D, anti-codon, and T loops).
Source: RNAcentral
GGAGAGGUGGCCGAGUGGCUGAAGGCAACGGUUUGCUAAAUCGUCGUACGGGUUCUCCUCGUACCGCGGGUUCGAAUCCCGCCCUCUCCG